UACGUAGGUGGCAAGCGUUGUCCGGAUUUACUGGGCGUAAAGAGCGCGCAGGCGGUCGUCCAAGUCGCGUGUGAAAGCCCCCGGCUCAACUGGGGAGGGUCACGCGAUACUGGUCGACUCGAAGGCAGGAGAGGGUAGUGGAAUUCCCGGUGUAGUGGUGAAAUGCGUAGAUAUCGGGAGGAACUCCGGUGGCGAAGGCGGCAUACUGGACCACCACUGACGCUGAUGCGCGAAAGCCAGGGGAGCAAACGGG
RNAcentral lists this ribosomal RNA (253 nucleotides) under uncultured bacterium. RNAcentral describes it as "partial 16S ribosomal RNA". It matches the Rfam family "Bacterial small subunit ribosomal RNA", at positions 524 to 776 of the family's 1533-position model. The record is from RNAcentral.